AGUGAACGCUGGCGGUAGGCCUAACACAUGCAAGUCGAACGGCAGCACAGUAAGAGCUUGCUCUUACGGGUGGCGAGUGGCGGACGGGUGAGGAAUACAUCGGAAUCUACUUUUUCGUGGGGGAUAACGUAGGGAAACUUACGCUAAUACCGCAUACGACCUACGGGUGAAAGCAGGGGAUCUUCGGACCUUGCGCGAUUGAAUGAGCCGAUGUCGGAUUAGCUAGUUGGCGGGGUAAAGGCCCACCAAGGCGACGAUCCGUAGCUGGUCUGAGAGGAUGAUCGGCCACACUGGAGCGGAGACACGGUCCAGGCUCCUACGGGAGGCAGCAGUGGGGAACAGUGGACAAUGGGGGGAAGCCUGACACAGCGAGACCGAGUGGGUGAAGAAGGCGUUCGGGUUGUGAAGACGGUUUGUUGGGAAAGAAAAGCAGCCGGUUAAGACGACGCGGUUGUGACGGUACCGAGAGAAUAAGCACCGGCUAACUUCGUG
RNAcentral lists this ribosomal RNA (492 nucleotides) under uncultured bacterium. RNAcentral's name for it is "partial 16S ribosomal RNA". It matches the Rfam family "Bacterial small subunit ribosomal RNA", at positions 30 to 507 of the family's 1533-position model. The record is from RNAcentral.